This 1507-nucleotide long non-coding RNA is filed under the name Zonotrichia albicollis (white-throated sparrow). Its description in RNAcentral is "lncRNA (ENSZALG00000001183.1)". Lineage: Eukaryota; Metazoa; Chordata; Aves; Passeriformes; Passerellidae. The record is from RNAcentral.
GGAAAUGGGGGAAAAAUGGGGAAAAUUACCCCAAAAUCAGCACAAAAAUCAGCCCAAAAUCAGCCCUAAAUCACCCAAAAAUCAGCACAAAAAUCGGCGCCAAAUCACCCCAAAAUCACCCAAAAAUUGGCACCAAAAUCAGCCCAAAAUCAGCCCAAAAAUAGCCCAAAAUCAGACUCAAAUCACCCAAAAAUCGGCACAAAAUCAGCCCAAAAAUAGACCCAAAAUCAGCCCCAAAAAUCAGCCCCAAAAUCCCCAAAGAGCCGGAUCACAAACGAGUCUGCAAUGGGGAAAAAUGGGAAAAAAUGGGGAAAAUCAGCACAAAAAUGGGCACAAAAAUCAGCAAAAAAUCAGCACAAAAAUCGGCCCAAGAAUGGGGAAAAGUACCCCAACAUCAGCCCAAAUUCAGCCCCAAAAUUGGCCCAAAAAUGGGGAGAAAUUGGCCUAAAAUGAGCCCAAAAUUCAGCCCAAAAGGAGCCCAAAAUUGGCCCAAAAAUGGGGAAAAAUCAGCCUAAAAUGAGCCCCAAAAUCAGCCCAAAAGUGGGAAAAAAUCAGCUCAAAAUCAGCCCAAAAAUGGGGAAAAUCAGCACAAAAAUCACCCAAAAAUCAGCCCCAAAUCUCUAUAAAAUCAGCCCAAAAAUCGGCACAAAAUCACCCCUAAAUCAGCCCCAAAUCAGCCAAAAAUCAGCACAAAAAUCGGCACAAAAUCAGCACAAAAUCACCCAAAAAUCAGCACAAAAUCACACAAAAAUCAGCCCCAAAAUCCCCAAAGAGCCGGAUCACAAACGAGUCUGCAAUGGGGGAAAUGGGAAAAAAUUGGAGAAAAUCAGCACAAAAAUCACCCAAAAAUCAGCCCAAAAAUAGCGCAAAUUCAGCCCCAAAUCACCCCAAAAUCAGCACAAAAAUCACUCAAAAAUCAGCCCAAAAACAGCCCAAAAAUCGGCACAAAAUCAGCCAAAAAUCAGCCCAAAAUCACCCAAAUAUCAGCCCAAAAUCAGCACAAAAAUCAGCCCCAAAAUCCCCAAAGAGCCGGAUCACAAACGAGUCUGCAACGGGGAAAAAUGGGGAAAAUUACCCCAAAAUCAGCACAAAAAUCAGCAAAAAAAUCAACCCAAAAUCACCCAAAAAUCGGCACAAAAUCAGCCAAAAAUCACCCAAAAAUCAGCCCCAAAAUCCCCAAAGAGCCGGAUCACAAACGAGUCUGGGAAAGGGGAAAAUGGGGGAAAAAAUGGGAAAAAUUACCCCAAAAUCAGCACAAAAAUCAGCAAAAAAAUCAACCCAAAAUCACCCAAAAAUCGGCACCAAAAUCACCCCAAAGUCAGCCCCAAAUCAGCACAAAAUCAGACUCAAAUCAACCCAAAAUCACCCAAAAAUCAGCCCAAAAAUCAGCCCCAAAAUCCCCAAAGAGCCGGAUCACAAACGAGUCUGCAGCGGGGGAAAUGGGGGAAAAAUGGGAAAAAUUACCCCAAAAUCAGCACAAAAUCACCCAAAAAUCAGCCCAAAAAUA